Molecule: long non-coding RNA, 203 nt
Organism: Carassius carassius (crucian carp)
Lineage: Eukaryota; Metazoa; Chordata; Actinopteri; Cypriniformes; Cyprinidae
Exons: 2
Source: RefSeq, a predicted model, not a curated record
ACCGCGUGGCUUCCUUCAGUUGCAGCUGCCCUCCUGGCAAGACUGGUUUGCUGUGUAAUAUUGAUGAUGCCUGCACCAAUAACCCAUGUAAGAUGGGAGCUCAGAGUUACACAAACCCCCUUUUAUAAAGAAUAUCUCUUUGGAUUUGAAACUUUAAUCUUUGCAACUUUAUAGAUCUUCUUUUUUGCACCAAGAGCUUGUAA